GCUGGGUGCGGUAGUGCGCAUCUGUAAUCCCAGCAACUCAGGAGGCUGAGGGAGGAGGAUCAUGAGUUCAAAGCCAGCAACGUACUGAGGCUGUAAGGAACUUAGUGUGACCCUGUCUCAA
This 121-nucleotide small RNA is filed under the name Marmota monax (woodchuck). The record is from RNAcentral. Lineage: Eukaryota; Metazoa; Chordata; Mammalia; Rodentia; Sciuridae.